Non-coding RNA from Acanthosepion pharaonis, 112 nucleotides. Lineage: Eukaryota; Metazoa; Mollusca; Cephalopoda; Sepiida; Sepiidae. The record is from the annotation of a GenBank genome assembly.
UUACGGCCAUAACACGUCAAAACACCGGGUCCUGUACGUUCACUGAUGUUAAGCAACGUCCAGCCUGGUCAGUCCUUAGAUGGGUGACCGCUUGGCAUAUCAGAUGCUGUAA